RNAcentral lists this long non-coding RNA (344 nucleotides) under Glycine max (soybean). Its description in RNAcentral is "long non-coding RNA (GMAX_LNC001481)". Lineage: Eukaryota; Viridiplantae; Streptophyta; Magnoliopsida; Fabales; Fabaceae. The record is from RNAcentral.
GAUGUGCCUAAUUUAAGACACCAAUUCGUACAAUUGAUAAGCACACCAAAGAAAUAGGAACGAAAUCCAAAAUUCCUCUGUUGAUCUAGGAAGUACAAAAUGAGCAAUUAAAUUAAAGCAAGAUGAUAUGAUUUAUUUAAAUAACUCCGAGAUUAUUUUAGUGUGAUCUUCUGAGUGCAGUUGAAGUAACUCUGCAUGCCUAUCUUGACUCUAUGCCCAGUUUCAAAGCAAAAUUAUAUUAUUUUGCUUCCGUUUCUAAAAUCCAUGAUGCAAGAAAAGACCCCUAAAUUCUUUUCCUAAUCUAAGUUUGGGUGGUUGAAUGCUUGGACCAUUUGACAGAUAUG